Molecule: ribosomal RNA, 433 nt
Filed under: uncultured bacterium
Lineage: Bacteria
Description: partial 16S ribosomal RNA
Rfam family: Bacterial small subunit ribosomal RNA
Source: RNAcentral
AACGAACGCUGGCGGCAUGCCUAACACAUGCAAGUCGAACGAGACCUUCGGGUCUAGUGGCGCACGGGUGCGUAACGCGUGGGAAUCUGCCCUUGGGUUCGGAAUAACAGUUGGAAACGACUGCCAAUACCGGAUGAUGACGUAAGUCCAAAGAUUUAUCGCCCAAGGAUGAGCCCGCGUAGGAUUAGCUAGUUGGUGAGGUAAAGGCUCACCAAGGCGACGAUCCUUAGAUGGUCUGAGAGGAUGAUCAGCCACACUGGGACUGGGACACGGCCCAGACGCCUGCGAGAGGCAGCAGUGAGUAAUAUUGGGCAGUGGGCGAAAUCCUGAGCCAGCAAUGCCGGGUGGGUGAUGAAGGCCUUGGGGUUGUAAAGCGCUAUGACCCAGGAUGUUAGUGACAGUACCGGGAGAAUAAGCACCGGCUAACUCCGUG